Pan troglodytes (chimpanzee) is the source of this 158-nucleotide long non-coding RNA. RefSeq lists it as uncharacterized. NCBI's taxonomy places the organism in Eukaryota, Metazoa, Chordata, Mammalia, Primates, Hominidae. The record is from RefSeq and is a predicted model, not a curated record. The transcript has 3 exons.
AGAGGGGCAGUGAUACUACUUCCCCCAGCUUGUUGGGAGGAUUAAAUGAGAGGAUGCCUGUGGGCCCAGGGAGCGGCUGCUGUGGCUUAUAGACCUGAUGGAGGUCAUCAGGUUUCCUGAGCUCUGCAGUGAGAAUCCUGUCCAUUCAAAUCCCAGCU